Arabidopsis thaliana (thale cress) is the source of this 240-nucleotide long non-coding RNA. RefSeq annotates it as other RNA. The record is from RefSeq. NCBI's taxonomy places the organism in Eukaryota, Viridiplantae, Streptophyta, Magnoliopsida, Brassicales, Brassicaceae. The transcript has a single exon.
GAACAACACUCCAAACGUCACCUGUAUUCAAAAGGAACAAAUCAAUCCUCAUGAUCAAGAAUCAAUCAACUGUGUUUGUUAGAUCUGAGCGAGAGAAAAGAGUAAAUGUUACGAUCUUGAUUCUUCAGAUAAGAGUAUUUGUUGAUUGAAAAUGAAAUAAUACAGAUUUAUUCCAGAUAUAGGGAGAUCCAACAAGAUUUGAGGAGAAAGAGAGAGACCUUGUAAGAGCCAUCGGUCUGA